Molecule: transfer RNA, 76 nt
Filed under: Bacillota bacterium
Lineage: Bacteria; Bacillati; Bacillota
Description: tRNA-Arg
Rfam family: tRNA
About the family: Transfer RNA (tRNA) molecules are approximately 80 nucleotides in length. Their secondary structure includes four short double-helical elements and three loops (D, anti-codon, and T loops).
Source: RNAcentral
GCGCCAGUAGCUCAGUGGAUAGAGUGCUUCACUCCGAAUGAAGAAGCCGCGAGUUCAAUUCUCGCCUGGCGCACCA